This 253-nucleotide ribosomal RNA is filed under the name uncultured bacterium. RNAcentral describes it as "partial 16S ribosomal RNA". It matches the Rfam family "Bacterial small subunit ribosomal RNA", at positions 524 to 776 of the family's 1533-position model. The record is from RNAcentral.
UACGUAGGGGGCAAGCGUUGUCCGGAAUCAUUGGGCGUAAAGAGCGUGUAGGCGGCCCGGUAAGUCCGCUGUGAAAGUCCAGGGCUCAACCCUGGGAUGCCGGUGGAUACUGUCGGGCUCGAGUCCGGAAGAGGAGUGUGGAAUUCCUGGUGUAGCGGUGAAAUGCGCAGAUAUCAGGAGGAACACCGAUGGCGAAGGCAGCACUCUGGGACGUGACUGACGCUGAGACGCGAAAGCGUGGGGAGCAAACAGG